AGGGGUGUAGCUCAGUGGUAGAGCACCUGCCUCACAUGUGAGGCACUGCAUUCAAUCCUCAGCACCAUAU
RNAcentral lists this transfer RNA (70 nucleotides) under Marmota monax (woodchuck). Its description in RNAcentral is "tRNA.Val". Lineage: Eukaryota; Metazoa; Chordata; Mammalia; Rodentia; Sciuridae. The record is from RNAcentral.